CCCUAGCCCCGAUUGCAGCUUUGUUUGAGCUCAUUUUUUUGGUUCCGGGGCGGCAGCGAAGCUGCCGCCCCGGAACCAAAAAAAUAGCGAGUGCGAAAAGCGGGAAAAAGA
Molecule: unclassified non-coding RNA, 111 nt
Filed under: Chryseobacterium arachidis
Lineage: Bacteria; Pseudomonadati; Bacteroidota; Flavobacteriia; Flavobacteriales; Weeksellaceae
Description: Flavo-1 RNA
Source: RNAcentral